Gavialis gangeticus (Gharial) is the source of this 115-nucleotide long non-coding RNA. RefSeq lists it as uncharacterized. Lineage: Eukaryota; Metazoa; Chordata; Crocodylia; Gavialidae. The record is from RefSeq and is a predicted model, not a curated record. The transcript has 3 exons.
CCAUUACUCCUGAAGUGCCUUGUGACCACUGUGGUAUAUACCACUCAGCAGUAGGAGGCCAAUGUAGGCUUUCAUCUCUGUUUCAUCCAGCUUUUUCCACUCCUUUCUAUUUUCA